This 3912-nucleotide long non-coding RNA is filed under the name Homo sapiens (human). RNAcentral's name for it is "long non-coding RNA NONHSAT191193.1". The record is from RNAcentral. Lineage: Eukaryota; Metazoa; Chordata; Mammalia; Primates; Hominidae.
UCCAGCUUCAUCCAUGUCCCUGCAAAGGACAUGAAUGCAUCCCUUUUUAUGGCUGCAUAGUAUUCCAUGGUGUCUAUGUGCCACAUUUUCUUUAUCCAGUUUAUCACUGAUGGGCAUUUGGGUUGGUUCCAAGUCUUUGCUGUUGUGAAUAGGAGCACAUCCUCCUGAUUCAACAAUGAGAUCAUCGUCCACUGUUCUGUUCAGGAGUACAGAAAGGUCCCAGGCUGCUAAGACAAUCUCGAAUUCUCUCAACACCCCACAGCUUGUCAAUACUGGAGGUAUUCUGGUGAUUUUUUUUUUUUGGAAAGUGGCUAUUUAUAUAUCACAAGGUUUCUUGAUUACAAAAGCAGUCAACUGGCCAGGCGCAGUGGCUCAUGCCUGUAAUCCCAGCACUUUGGGAGGCCAAGGCUGGUGGAUCAUGAGGUCAGGAGAUCGAGACCAGCCUGGCCAACAUGGUGAAACCCUGUCUCUACUAAAAAUACAAAAAUUAGCCAGGCAUGGUGGUCAUCCUUUUUUAUGGCUGCAUAGUAUUCCAUGCAUACAUGGCACAUUUUCUUUAAGGGUGCAUGUUGGGAGGAGGGAAAGGAUCAGAAAAAAAUAACUUAUUGUGUACAAAGCUUUGUACCUGGGUGACAAAAUAAUCUGUACAACAAACCCCUAUGACAUGAGUUUACCUAUAUAACAAACCCACACAUGUACCCCUAGACCUAAAUAAAAGUGUUUUUGUUUGUUUGUGUUUUUGUUUUUGUUGUGUUUGUAUGUUUGUAAUCCCAACUACUUGGGAGGCUGAGGCAGGAGAAUUGCUUGAACCCGGGAGGUGUAGGUUGCAGUGAUCAGAGAUCGCUCCAGCCUUGGUGACAGAGUGAGACUCCAUCUCCAAAAAAAAAACCAAAAAACAAAAAACUCGUCUCUCUACCUACCUGCUCUCUUUCCCCAUUCCUGUUACAUAGAUUACUUCUUACCUCCCCAGGUACCCUGGAAGGUCAGAGUCUUCCCUUCUUCCUUCUAUUUAAAUAAAACAAUAUGAGAAAACUGCUUGACAGGUGGUUCCAAGCAUCAGUGGGGUGAAAAAACAAUAUUCUUCGUGAUGUGGGUAACACCAGGAAAAAAAAAAAUCAGUGUCUCUUGUCCAUAGGUUCUCAUCAUUUAGCUCUCACUUUUAUUUUUAAUUAAUUAAUUUUUUUUUGAGACAGAGUCUCACUCUGUCACCCAGGCUGGACUGCAGUGGCAAGAUCUCGGCUCACUGUACACUCCACCUCCCGAGUUCAAGUGAUUCUCCUGCCUCAACCUCCUGGGUCACUGGGAUUACAGGUGUCUGCCAGCACUCCUGGCUAACUUUUGUAUUUUCAGUAGAGACGGGACUUCACCAUAUUGGUCAGGCUGGUCUAGAACUCCUGUCCUCAAAUGAUCUGCCCUCCUCGGCCUCCCAGAGUGCUGGGAUUACAGGCAUGAGCCACUGUGCCUGGCUGGUAACGCUCUUUCAUGAUAGAAUCUUUAUUUUUAAAUUUAUUUAUUUAUUUUGAGACUGAGUCCCACUCUGCCACUCAGGCUGGAGUACAGUGGCACGAUCUCGGCUCACUGCAACCUUCACCACCCGGGUUCAAGUGAGUCUUCUGCCUCAGUGCCCCCCGAGUGUCUAGGAUUACAGGCAUGCGCCACCAUGCCGAGCUAAUUUUUGUAUUUUUAGGAGAAAUGAGGUUUCAUCAUGUUGGCCAGGCUGGUCUCUAACUCCUGACCUUAAGUGAUCCACCCACCUUGGCCUCCCAAUGUGAUGGAAUUACAAGUGUGAGCCACCACACCCGGCUGGCUCCCACUUUUAAAUGAAAACGUGUGGUAUUUAGUUUUCUGUUCCUGCAUUGGUUUGCUAAGCAUACCAUAGCUCCAGCUGUGUUCCUGCAAAAGAUAUGAGCUCAUCCUUUUUUAUGGCUGCAUAGUAUCCCAUGCAUAUGUGGCACAUUUUCUUUAAGGGUGCAGGUUGGGAGGAGGGACUGGAUCAGAAAAAAAUAACUUAUUGUGUACAAAGUUUGUACCUGGGUGACAAAAUAAUCUGUACAACAAAACCCUAUGACAUGAGUUUACCUAUAUAACAAACCCACACAUGUACCCCUGGACCUAAAAUAAAAGUGUUUUUGUUUGUUUGUUUUUUUGUUUUUGUUGUGUUUGUAUGUUUGUUUGAGAUGGAGUCUCUGCCUUUGUUGCUCAGGCCAGAGUACAGUGGUGCAAUCUUGGCUCACUGCAACCUCCACCUCCCAGAAAAAGAAAGCAAAUACGGCAAACAGCAUCAGCUUUUUAGAAGAAGCUGGAGCUUCUGGUGGGUGGACCAUGCUGGAGCUUCUGGUGGGUGGGCGAUGCUGGAGCUUCUAGUGGGUGGACCAUGCUGGGGCUUCUGGUGGGUGAACCAUACUGGAGCUUCUGGUAGGUGGACCAUGGUGGAGCUUCUGGUGGGUGGACCAUGCUGGGGCUUCUGGUGGGUGAACCAUACUGGAGCUUCUGGUAGGUGGACCAUGGUGGAGCUUCUGGUGGGUAGACCAUGGUGGAGCUUCUGGUGGGUGGAGCAUGCUGGAGCUUCUGGUGGGGUAAAUCAUGCUGGAGCUUCUGGUGGGUAAAUCAUGCUGGAGCUUCUGGUGAGUAGACCACGGUGGAGCUUCUGGUGGAUAAAUUAUGCUGGCGCUUCUCGUGGGUAAAUCAUGCUGCAACUUCUGGUGGGUAAAUCAUGCUGGAGCUUCUGGUGAGUAGACCACGGUGGAGCUUCUGGUGGAUAAAUUAUGCUGGAGCUUCUCGUGGGUAAAUCAUGCUGGAGCUUCUGGUGGGUGGACCAUGCUGGAGCUUCUCAUGGGUAAAUCAUGCUGGAGCUUCUGGUGGGUGGAUCAUGCUGGAGCUUCUGGUGGGUGGAUCAUGCUCGAGCUUCUGGUGGAUGGACCAUGCUGGAGCUUCUGGUGGGUGGACCAUGGUGGAGCUUCUGGUGAGUAGACCAUGGUGGGAGCUUCUUGGAGGUAAAUUAUGCUGGAGCUUCUGAUGGGUGGACCAUGCUGGAGCUUCUGGUGGGUGGACCAUGGUGGAGCUUCUGGUGGGUGGACCAUGGUGGAGCUUCUGGUGGGUAAAUUAUGCUGGAGCUUCUGGUGGGUGGACCAUGUUGGAACCUCUGGUGGGUGGAUCAUGCUGAAGCUUCUGGUGGGUAAAUCAUGCUGAAGCUUCUGGUGGGUAAAUCAUGCUGGAACCUCUGGUGGGUAAAUCAUGCUGGAGCUUCUGGUGGGUAAAUUAUGUUGGAGCCUCUGGUGGGUAAAUCAUGCUGAAGCUUCUGGUGGGUAAAUCAUGCUAGAGCCUCUGGUGGGUAAAUCAUGCUGGAGCCUCUGGUGGGUAAAUCAUGCUGGAGCCUCUGGUGGGUAAAUCAUGCUGGAGCCUCUGGUGGGUGGGGUAUCCACACACCUGUGGGUGCCAAUUGAUAGUGGGGACUUCACCCCAUGUCCCAGAAUCCUGCAAGGAGGCCACAUGCCCCAUAAAUUCUUUCCAGUAAGUUAAUACGUCCACAGCACGCUGUGCGUUCCCCCAAAAAUGACAUCGGCCAAUUACACUUUCAAAUCACAUGCCUUCCUGAUGGGCAAAACUGGAAAUGUGAACACACUUUAAUCCUCAGAUAAUGUAAUGGUUUACAUCUGGGGCUCUUCAGGCAGCCCAUGGCUGGUUCACGUUGCUCCCUUCCAAUAAAUGUUUUGCAGUAUGUGUCUUGUUUAAUAACGAUUUAAACAUGGAAAAUAAAUGCUUUCCUCUUAGGCGUCCACCUGUCUAUCACCCGGAGUCUGGGAGGACGGCCCUUCUUUUCAACGGCAUUCGCCAAGCCAGUCUCCAUGAAUCACUGACAGAGUCCUCUAAUGGUUUCCUUUUUUGUUGUUGUUGUUUAACACUUAAGCAUUG